RNAcentral lists this transfer RNA (73 nucleotides) under Bacteroidota bacterium. Its description in RNAcentral is "Bacteroidetes bacterium (sediment metagenome) tRNA-His". It matches the Rfam family "tRNA". Rfam says of the family: Transfer RNA (tRNA) molecules are approximately 80 nucleotides in length. Lineage: Bacteria; Pseudomonadati; Bacteroidota. The record is from RNAcentral. RNAcentral also lists the same sequence under 1 other name.
GUGAGCGUAGCUCAGUUGGUAGAGCAUCAGAUUGUGGCUCUGAGGGUCGCGGGUUCAAGCCCCGUCGCUCACC